CCAAUUUUCUGUAGCUAGCUUGAGUUGGUAUUAGCCAUUUAAACUUUGAAAAUGGCUAUGUGGAUACUUCCUACAUCCUUUUUCAUGAGAUGAUGAAUAGUUAUCACAAGAUAUUUGAGAAAAUUUUUAAGGAGCCAUUCAGUUAUUUAAAAACAAACUGAAGUCAAUCACCAUUAUUACAAAGUUGUAUGAUAUACAUGUAUAAUCCUAGAAACUUAAACGUGUUCAAGAGUGUUGAGUUCUGAGCCAUCAUCAUUUUGAUUUGGUCCUUUCUGCCUCAAAUAUCACAGUUUUUCUUCUGUGGAUAUCACAGAGUAAACAUCACAAUAUAGGCAGAAGCUUGUAUAAUUUCAAUCUAGUAGAGGCCACAAAAUAAAACAUUAUGCUGAUACUGUUGUGAAUUGUAUAAAAAAACAUGGAACUACACCAUUAUUGGAGACCAAAUAAAAAUUCAUAGAUAAUGUCUAGUAAUAUACAACAGCCAGCUUUACAGAGUUAUCAAACAAUCAGAUACCAGAAGAGACUCCUCGUUGAGUCACUAUUAGAGAUUAAAUGAACCAACUUUGAAAAAUAAAGGGGCAAUCUUCACAUGCCAAGUCAUUAGGAAAUUAUUCCAUCCAAGAAUUAACAUACUUUACCAUCACUACUGUUUCAAAGAAUCAAAUGCUAAUAUACUGUAAUGACUCCAUUUCACAAGUGAAUCAAUUCAUCAACCAUGAACAAAUAUUGACAUACACACAAAGCAAAAAGAUUUGUAGUUAAACAUCAGGAUUCUAACAGAUUCGGCAUGUUCAUAGAGUUAGCAACUCAAAUAUUCAUUCAUUUUUUCAAAUAGAAAAUAACAAAAGUAAGCGGACGCACCUAAAGGCAGAAAACAACAAUUAGAGGACCAAAUAAAGGUAUGAACUUCAAAGCUGGAGCUCAGCAGCUCCAAAAACGAGCAACCCCAACAGAUUCGACAACUUCAAUAGCUCAAACCAUUUAGAGAAAUCCCAAAAAAUGUACAACAAUUGAAUGAAAACCCGAAACCAACUUUAAAUCUUCCUUUUCAUCGUUUUUUUCUCUUUUCUUUUUUUUUUUUUGAUUUUUCGGAGUUCUUUUUUUUAGAUCUGAAAUUCGGUACUUUUAAAUCCAGAUGUUUCUGUUUGUGAAAGUGAGAAAGGAAUGAAGAAGGAAAGGGGGAAUAACGCUGUUCUGGGUCUGUGAGAUGAGGAAUGGAGCAGCGUUUGUUUUUGGGUGUUGAAGAAAAUGGGGAAGAAGCCUUUUUCUUCUUUCUAGAUGCGCCGUUUGGUCCUAGGGUCUAAAAGAAUAUGGGAAAAUCUGAUUGUGGUAAUUAGGUCCUAGCUAGGUUAAAUAGAGCUAUGGUUAUUUUAAGGGCAGAGAAUGGGUAUUGGGCUAAAAUAAUUGGGCUGGAAUGUGGGUAAUUG
RNAcentral lists this long non-coding RNA (1427 nucleotides) under Nicotiana tabacum (common tobacco). RNAcentral's name for it is "long non-coding RNA (NTAB_LNC002776)". Lineage: Eukaryota; Viridiplantae; Streptophyta; Magnoliopsida; Solanales; Solanaceae. The record is from RNAcentral.